UCAGUUCGGAUUGAAGGCUGAAAUUCGCCUUCAUGAAGCCGGAAUUGCUAGUAAUGGCAGGUCAGCAUACUGCCGUGAAUACGUUCCCGGGCCUUGUACACACCGCCCGUCACACCAUGAGAGUUGGGAAUACCCGAAGCCUGUGAGCUAACGAAAGAGGCAGCAGUCGAAGGUAGAAUCAAUGAUUGGGGUGAAGUCGUAACAAGGUAAC
RNAcentral lists this ribosomal RNA (211 nucleotides) under uncultured bacterium. RNAcentral describes it as "partial 16S ribosomal RNA". It matches the Rfam family "Bacterial small subunit ribosomal RNA", at positions 1288 to 1500 of the family's 1533-position model. The record is from RNAcentral.